RNAcentral lists this unclassified non-coding RNA (402 nucleotides) under uncultured Peziza. Its description in RNAcentral is "sequence contains ITS2". The stretch from base 1 to 154 matches the Rfam family "5.8S ribosomal RNA". Lineage: Eukaryota; Fungi; Ascomycota; Pezizomycetes; Pezizales; Pezizaceae. The record is from RNAcentral.
AACUUUCAGCAAUGGAUCUCUAGGCUCUUGCAUCGAUGAAGCACGCAGUGAAAUGCGAUAAGUAAUGUGAAUUGCAGAAUCUCGUGAAUCAUCGAAUCUUUGAACGCACAUUGCGCCCUAUGGUAUUCCGUAGGGCAUGCCUGUCUGAGCGUUAGUUCCCCACACACUCAAGUAUCCUUUAUUUGGGAUUCUUGGAAUGAUUUGGAGAGGUGUCUCGUCAUAGAGAUGCCUUCCAGAAAUUCAUAGGCAGUAUGGUUUGCACCGGAACCAGACGUAAUAAUAAUAAAAUCGUUUGUUUGGGAAUAAUUGUGCUUGCCUUAACCCACCCAUUUCUCUCAUUUGGGUGACCUCAGAUCAGGUAGGGAUACCCGCUGAACUUAAGCAUAUCAAUAAGCGGAGGCU